GACGAACGCUGGCGGCGUGCUUAACACAUGCAAGUCGAACGGAAAGGCCCUGCUUUUGUGGGGUGCUCGAGUGGCGAACGGGUGAGUAACACGUGAGUAACCUGCCCUUGACUUUGGGAUAACUUCAGGAUACUGGGGCUAAUACCGGAUAGGAGCUCCUGCUGCAUGGUGGGGGUUGGAAAGUUUCGGCGGUUGGGGAUGGACUCGCGGCUUAUCAGCUUGUUGGUGGGGUAGUGGCUUACCAAGGCUUUGACGGGUAGCCGGCCUGAGAGAGUGACCGGCCAAAUUGGGACUGAGAUACGGCCCAGACUCCUACGGGAGGCAGCAGUGGGGAAUAUUGCACAAUGGGCGGAAGCCUGAUGCAGCAACGCCGCGUGCGGGAUGACGGCCUUCGGGUUGUAAACCGCUUUCGCCUGUGACGAAGCGUGAGUGACGGUAAUGGGUAAAGAAGCACCGGCUAACUACGUG
This 468-nucleotide ribosomal RNA is filed under the name uncultured bacterium. RNAcentral's name for it is "partial 16S ribosomal RNA". It matches the Rfam family "Bacterial small subunit ribosomal RNA", at positions 28 to 507 of the family's 1533-position model. The record is from RNAcentral.